Molecule: ribosomal RNA, 497 nt
Filed under: uncultured bacterium
Lineage: Bacteria
Description: partial 16S ribosomal RNA
Rfam family: Bacterial small subunit ribosomal RNA
Source: RNAcentral
GAUGAACGCUGGCGGCGUGCCUAAUACAUGCAAGUCGAGCGAACGGACGAGAAGCUUGCUUCUCUGAUGUUAGCGGCGGACGGGUGAGUAACACGUGGAUAACCUACCUAUAAGACUGGGAUAACUUCGGGAAACCGGAGCUAAUACCGGAUGAUAUUUUGAACCGCAUGGUUCAAAAGUGAAAGACGGUCUUGCUGUCACUUAUAGAUGGAUCCGCGCUGCAUUAGCUAGUUGGUAAGCUAACGGCUUACCAAGGCAACGAUGCAUAGCCGACCUGAGAGGGUGAUCGGCCACACUGGAACUGAGACACGGUCCAGACUCCUACGGGAGGCAGCAGUAGGGAAUCUUCCGCAAUGGGCGAAAGCCUGACGGAGCAACGCCGAGUGAGUGAUGAAGGUCUUCGGAUCGUAAAACUCUGUUAUUAGGGAAGAACAUAUGUGUAAGUAACCGUGCACAUCUUGACGGUACCUAAUCAGAAAGCCACGGCUAACUACGUG